RNAcentral lists this ribosomal RNA (434 nucleotides) under uncultured bacterium. Its description in RNAcentral is "bacterial SSU rRNA". It matches the Rfam family "Bacterial small subunit ribosomal RNA", at positions 355 to 786 of the family's 1533-position model. The record is from RNAcentral.
UGAGGAAUAUUGGUCAAUGGACGAGAGUCUGAACCAGCCAAGUAGCGUGAAGGAUGACUGCCCUAUGGGUUGUAAACUUCUUUUAUAUGGGAAUAAAGUAUUCCACGUGUGGGAUUUUGUAUGUACCAUAUGAAUAAGGAUCGGCUAACUCCGUGCCAGCAGCCGCGGUAAUACGGAGGAUCCGAGCGUUAUCCGGAUUUAUUGGGUUUAAAGGGAGCGUAGGUGGAUUGUUAAGUCAGUUGUGAAAGUUUGCGGCUCAACCGUAAAAUUGCAGUUGAAACUGGCAGUCUUGAGUACAGUAGAGGUGGGCGGAAUUCGUGGUGUAGCGGUGAAAUGCUUAGAUAUCACGAAGAACUCCGAUUGCGAAGGCAGCGUACUGGCGCCUGACUGACGCUGAGGCACGAAAGCGUGGGGAUCGAACAGGAUUAGAUACC